This 253-nucleotide ribosomal RNA is filed under the name uncultured bacterium. RNAcentral's name for it is "partial 16S ribosomal RNA". It matches the Rfam family "Bacterial small subunit ribosomal RNA", at positions 524 to 776 of the family's 1533-position model. The record is from RNAcentral.
GACGUAGGGCGCGAGCGUUGUCCGGAUUUAUUGGGCGUAAAGAGCUCGUAGGCGGCUUGUCGCGUCGAAUGUGAAAUCUCGGGGCUCAACUCCGAGCUUGCAUUCGAUACGGGCAGGCUAGAGUUCGGUAGGGGAGACUGGAAUUCCUGGUGUAGCGGUGAAAUGCGCAGAUAUCAGGAGGAACACCAAUAGCGAAGGCAGCUCGCUGGGACGGUACUGACGCUGAGGCGCGAAAGCGUGGGGAGCGAACAGG